GACCCCAGGUCAGGAUUGCAUUACCCGCUGAGUUUAAGCAUAUCAAUAAGCGGAGGA
Molecule: ribosomal RNA, 57 nt
Filed under: Ipomoea sp. cdK153
Lineage: Eukaryota; Viridiplantae; Streptophyta; Magnoliopsida; Solanales; Convolvulaceae
Description: partial 26S ribosomal RNA
Source: RNAcentral